UUGAAAAAUGUCAUUCAUGCAGUUGCAAGGACAGAUAUGAUGUGAAGGCAAGGGAAUCUAUUUCCCAUUGAAGUUCCUGGAAAGCUAUCUCCCACAUAUAACCAUGGUUUGUUCCGUUCACCCACCUAAAAGUGGGAAAUGACUGUAGAAGGUUCUUUUUUGGGAGGAUACAUGGAUUGGAGAUCAACCUUUGUUAGCCAGUUUCACGAUUGGUAAAACUUUUUAUCUUGACACAAUGAGCCUAUAACAACUUUUACUUCCAUCACAGAGAGAGGGGUAACUUCGAAUUUUCAUUUUUACUUUAACCUAUCCGAUAGGGAGACUCAUGACACACUAAACAUCCUAAACCUGUUGGAGCCAGUUAACCUCAAU
Molecule: long non-coding RNA, 372 nt
Filed under: Carica papaya (papaya)
Lineage: Eukaryota; Viridiplantae; Streptophyta; Magnoliopsida; Brassicales; Caricaceae
Description: long non-coding RNA (CPAP_LNC014880)
Source: RNAcentral